RNAcentral lists this ribosomal RNA (158 nucleotides) under Dictyosporium elegans. RNAcentral's name for it is "5.8S ribosomal RNA". It matches the Rfam family "5.8S ribosomal RNA". Rfam says of the family: 5.8S ribosomal RNA (5.8S rRNA) is a component of the large subunit of the eukaryotic ribosome. It is transcribed by RNA polymerase I as part of the 45S precursor that also contains 18S and 28S rRNA. Functionally, it is thought that 5.8S rRNA may be involved in ribosome translocation. Lineage: Eukaryota; Fungi; Ascomycota; Dothideomycetes; Pleosporales; Dictyosporiaceae. The record is from RNAcentral.
AACUUUCAACAAUGGAUCUCUUGGUUCUGGCAUCGAUGAAGGAACGCAGCGAAAUGCGAUAAGUAGUGUGAAUUGCAGACUUUAGUGAAUCAUCGAAUCUUUGAACGCACAUUGCGCCCCUUGGUAUUCCAUUGGGCAUGCCUGUUCGAGCGUCAUUU